RNAcentral lists this small RNA (27 nucleotides) under Bombyx mori (domestic silkworm). RNAcentral's name for it is "ovarian small RNA-12252". The record is from RNAcentral. Lineage: Eukaryota; Metazoa; Arthropoda; Insecta; Lepidoptera; Bombycidae.
AGUACGGGUAAGAUACGCCGGCGCUGA